Molecule: ribosomal RNA, 253 nt
Filed under: uncultured bacterium
Lineage: Bacteria
Description: partial 16S ribosomal RNA
Rfam family: Bacterial small subunit ribosomal RNA
Source: RNAcentral
UACGUAGGUGGCGAGCGUUGUCCGGAAUUACUGGGCGUAAAGCGCGUGUAGGCGGGAGGGCAAGUCUGUGGUGAAAUCGCUCGGCUUAACUGGGCGGGGUCCAUGGAAACUGGUCACCUGGAGGUCGGUAGAGGCAAGUGGAAUUCCCGGUGUAGUGGUGAAAUGCGUAGAGAUCGGGAGGAACACCAGUGGCGAAGGCGGCUUGCUGGGCCGGACCUGACGCUGAGACGCGAAGGCGUGGGGAGCGAACGGG